GAUGAAGAACGUAGCGAAAUGCGAUAAGUAAUGUGAAUUGCAGAAUUCCGUGAAUCAUCGAAUCUUUGAACGCAUAUUGCGCCCUUUGGUAUUCCGGGGGGCAUGCCUGUCCGAGCGUCAUUACUAUCUUCAAGCACGGCUUGUGUGUUGAGCAUUCUGUUCUCUUUUUCAUGAACAGGGCUUGAAAUGCAAUGGCGAUGGUAACAUUGGAUGCCCGAGCGUAUGGGGCUCUGUCACACGCUCUGGUGGCUCCAGCUUGCCUUCUGUCCAGCUUUAUAUAUCAAACUUGAAUUGACCUCGGAUCAGGUAGGGGUACCCGCUGAACUUAAGCAUAUCAAUAAGCGGAGGA
This 349-nucleotide unclassified non-coding RNA is filed under the name soil metagenome. Its description in RNAcentral is "partial contains 5.8S ribosomal RNA, internal transcribed spacer 2, and large subunit ribosomal RNA". The stretch from base 1 to 120 matches the Rfam family "5.8S ribosomal RNA", at positions 35 to 154 of the family's 154-position model. The record is from RNAcentral.